This 433-nucleotide long non-coding RNA is filed under the name Ananas comosus (pineapple). Its description in RNAcentral is "long non-coding RNA (ACOM_LNC000797)". Lineage: Eukaryota; Viridiplantae; Streptophyta; Magnoliopsida; Poales; Bromeliaceae. The record is from RNAcentral.
GUAUACACGUGAGCGGCACGGCGGCGCGAGGCGAGCGCGUAGCUCCGUAGUUAGCGCCCUACCACCGAGACUAGAGAUAGCGGUACCGUUAGCCGGCUACCUAGGGAUGUAAGAAAAUGAAAGGGAUAAGAUUGCAAUAAUUUGUAAUAAAAGUAUGAUUGUAUUUGGAAGUUAAAUGUAAUAUGUAAUUGUGAUGUAAAAUAUAUCUAGUGAAUGUGAAUGCUUGUAAUAGCAAGUAGAUUAUGUUUUUGAUACUUCUUUUUGCAAUCUUUGAUUGAAAUGUGUUCCUGGUUGGAACUUCGUACAUUGUUUUGAUUGUGACGCCUUGAAUGUACAUGGGAGACUCUGUCCGCGGUACAGAGGAAACUCUGUCUGUUCGGCGGUCUGUCAGCGGCACCGCGACCCGGCCAAAUAGGCGGGUGGUCGCGGGUUG